AUGAGUUACUUGAACCGUGUUUGGAUGGCAACAACCGUGGCGGUGGCACAAGGCCACACUGAUCCGGGCCACAAGUGCAAAAAGGCUCUCGAAUCUAUUCACCAAAACCGCACACGUCUCUUCUCCGCCGGUAGUUUGUUCAAUCUCCGGCCGUUAGCCAGCGUCGUUGAAUCGGACGUACGUGUGAGUUCUGGGGCGGAAGAGAGGCUGAGACAAACCGAUGAUUCUCUCCGGAAAGUGAUGUACAUGAACUGCUGGGGGCAAGGCUAA
This is a non-coding RNA of Vicia faba (fava bean), 270 nucleotides long. Lineage: Eukaryota; Viridiplantae; Streptophyta; Magnoliopsida; Fabales; Fabaceae. The record is from the annotation of a GenBank genome assembly.